This is a long non-coding RNA of Stylophora pistillata, 809 nucleotides long. RefSeq lists it as uncharacterized. The record is from RefSeq and is a predicted model, not a curated record. NCBI's taxonomy places the organism in Eukaryota, Metazoa, Cnidaria, Anthozoa, Scleractinia, Pocilloporidae.
AAUUGCAGUCUUAAGAGAACGCGCAAGGUUUCACUGAGCUGAUCGGCGAUGGUGACGAUGGGUUUACCUUGGACCCAUGUUCUGAAGAUGGUCUAAGUAAUGAUGUGAAUUCACUCUACGUAAACAUAAUCGAGAAGAAUCGAAUGUACUACAAAUGCAAGAUUUGUGGCCGGAAGCCGUCGAGGAAACAAAGACUCGAAACCCWGACUUGAGUUGUGUUCACGGCAAAGUUGAGAAACAACCAGAAGGCAAUCACAAUUUUAAGUGUGAUUACAAACGUGUUUUACCCUCAUUAUUAUAACAGAUGCACUCAUUCUUCAAAGCCUCCUGACACAUGGACGGGUAUUCUGAAGUUGCUCCGAUGGACCGUAACAAGCGUUCAGCGACACGUUCCAACACACCGAUCUCGAUUCCUGUUUCGCUUCUACUGAGCUAGCAGCGGCGCCAACAGAGUCAAGUGCGUCUCGUAACGAAGAAACAUUUGUACAAGAGAAGGAAGCGGUUAUAGUACGGUAGAAUUUUUGCCUACAAAUUAAUGUGCACAUUCCGAAGCGUUGACCCAUGCUUAUGAUUAUGUUUAUGUAUUAUGAUUUCGGCGCAUCUCCGCACAUGAGACAUUUUGCAUCACAAGAAAACCUUUUAUGACUGGAAUCGACGAGGCCUUUGAGGUAGACACAAACAGGGCUGUUUAUGAGAUCAAGCUCUCUGACACGCAAGUAUUUUCAAGUUCUCUGGCACGUACAUAUUUUGAACGAGCUCUAUGAGUUCAUUGACGCUACGUGGGUAAAUAAAGUAUCGAUUGAUAUUGA